RNAcentral lists this ribosomal RNA (550 nucleotides) under Clostridium sp. RNAcentral's name for it is "bacterial SSU rRNA". It matches the Rfam family "Bacterial small subunit ribosomal RNA", at positions 366 to 932 of the family's 1533-position model. Lineage: Bacteria; Bacillati; Bacillota; Clostridia; Eubacteriales; Clostridiaceae. The record is from RNAcentral.
GCGCAAUGGGGGAAACCCUGACGCAGCAACGCCGCGUGGGUGAUGAAGGUCUUCGGAUUGUAAAGCCCUGUUUUCUGGGACGAUAAUGACGGUACCAGAGGAGGAAGCCACGGCUAACUACGUGCCAGCAGCCGCGGUAAUACGUAGGUGGCGAGCGUUGUCCGGAUUUACUGGGCGUAAAGGGUGCGUAGGCGGAUGUUUAAGUGGGAUGUGAAAUCCCCGGGCUUAACCUGGGGGCUGCAUUCCAAACUGGAUAUCUAGAGUGCAGGAGAGGAAAGCGGAAUUCCUAGUGUAGCGGUGAAAUGCGUAGAGAUUAGGAAGAACACCAGUGGCGAAGGCGGCUUUCUGGACUGUAACUGACGCUGAGGCACGAAAGCGUGGGUAGCAAACAGGAUUAGAUACCCUGGUAGUCCACGCCGUAAACGAUGGAUACUAGGUGUAGGGGGUAUCAACUCCCCCUGUGCCGCAGUUAACACAAUAAGUAUCCCGCCUGGGGAGUACGGUCGCAAGAUUAAAACUCAAAGGAAUUGACGGGGGCCCGCACAAGAUU